Python bivittatus (Burmese python) is the source of this 264-nucleotide non-coding RNA. The record is from RefSeq and is a predicted model, not a curated record. NCBI's taxonomy places the organism in Eukaryota, Metazoa, Chordata, Lepidosauria, Squamata, Pythonidae.
AGAAAGGCCGAGAAGGCUGGUAGAUGAUGUUGUGGAUAAAGCUACAUUUGAUAACAUGAAAACGGAUUCUAGAGCAAACUACACAUUCAUGCCUCCUGAUCUCCUAGAUUUCAGCAAAGGGGACUUUCUUCGCAAAGGCACUAUUGGAGACUGGAAGAACACACUGACUGUUGCACAGAAUGAAAGGUUUGACAGCGUCUUUAAGGAGAGGUUGGAGAAGCUGCCCUUCAAGUUCUGCUGGGAUAUUCAUGAGGAUUCUGAGCC